GUGUCAGCAGCCGCGGUAAUACGGAGGGUGCGAGCGUUAAUCGGAAUUACUGGGCGUAAAGCGUGCGCAGGCGGUUGUGUAAGACAGGUGUGAAAUCCCCGGGCUUAACCUGGGAAUUGCAUUUGUGACUGCAUGACUAGAGUGUGUCAGAGGGGGGUGGAAUUCCACGUGUAGCAGUGAAAUGCGUAGAUAUGUGGAGGAACACCAAUGGCGAAGGCAGCCCCCUGGGAUAACACUGACGCUCAUGCACGAAAGCGUGGGGAGCAAACAGGAUUAGAUACCCCCGUAGUCC
RNAcentral lists this ribosomal RNA (292 nucleotides) under uncultured prokaryote. RNAcentral describes it as "partial 16S ribosomal RNA". It matches the Rfam family "Bacterial small subunit ribosomal RNA", at positions 505 to 796 of the family's 1533-position model. The record is from RNAcentral.